GACGAACGCUGGCGGCGUGCCUAAUACAUGCAAGUUGAGCGCUGAAGGUUGGUACUUGUACCAACUGGAUGAGCAGCGCACGGGUGAGUAACGCGUGGGGAAUCUGCCUUUGAGCGGGGGACAACAUUUGGAAACGAAUGCUAAUACCGCAUAAAAACUUUAAACACAAGUUUUAAGUUUGAAAGAUGCAAUUGCAUCACUCAAAGAUGAUCCCGCGUUGUAUUAGCUAGUUGGUGAGGUAAAGGCUCACCAAGGCGAUGAUACAUAGCCGACCUGAGAGGGUGAUCGGCCACAUUGGGACUGAGACACGGCCCAAACUCCUACGGGAGGCAGCAGGAGGGAAUCUUCGGCAAUGGACGAAAGUCUGACCGAGCAACGCCGCGGGAGUGAAGAAGGGUGUCGGAUCGUAAAACUCGGUUGGUAGAGAAGAACGUUGGUGAGAGUGGAAAGCUCAUCAAGUGACGGUAACUACCCAGAAAGGGACGGCUAACUACGUG
Molecule: ribosomal RNA, 497 nt
Filed under: uncultured bacterium
Lineage: Bacteria
Description: partial 16S ribosomal RNA
Rfam family: Bacterial small subunit ribosomal RNA
Source: RNAcentral